GACGAACGCUGGCGGCGUGCCUAACACAUGCAAGUUGAGCGACGAACCAGGGCUUGCCCUGGGGCAAAGCAGCGAACGGGUGAGUAACACGUGGGUAACCUACCCCGAUAACCGGGACAACCCGAGGAAACUCGGGCUAAUACCGGAUGUGCUCACUGGACUUCGGUUCAGUGCGUAAAGGAAGCUUCGGCCUCCGUAUCGGGAGGGGCCCGCGGCCCAUUAGUUUGUUGGUGGGGUAACGGCUCACCAAGACCGCGAUGGGUAGCUGGUCUGGGGGGACGAUCAGCAACACUGGGACUGAGACACGGCCCAGACUCCUACGGGAGGCAGCAGUGGGGAAUCUUGCGCAAAGCGCGAAAGCGGGACGCAGCAACGCCGCGUGGGGGAAGAAGGCCUUCGGGUUGUAAACCCCGUUCAGGAGGGACGAAGGUUCGGCGGUGAAUAGCCGUCCGGACUGACGGUACCUCCACAAGAAGCCCCGGCUAACUACGUG
This 493-nucleotide ribosomal RNA is filed under the name uncultured bacterium. RNAcentral describes it as "partial 16S ribosomal RNA". It matches the Rfam family "Bacterial small subunit ribosomal RNA", at positions 28 to 507 of the family's 1533-position model. The record is from RNAcentral.